Molecule: long non-coding RNA, 22530 nt
Filed under: Theobroma cacao (cacao)
Lineage: Eukaryota; Viridiplantae; Streptophyta; Magnoliopsida; Malvales; Malvaceae
Description: long non-coding RNA (TCAC_LNC003660)
Source: RNAcentral
AGAAAGAUUCCUAUGAAAAGACAAUGUAAUCCCCAGAAGUCCUGUCACCCCAUAGAGUCCCACAGCAAGCCAAAAAGCGGGCCAAUUGAAAUGAAAAGGUGCAAAAAGGCUGAGCAAAUGCAUGCCUACAACAACACCAGCAGUGGCCAUAUCCAAAGUGUUCCAUUUUCUUCCCCAAAACACUUCCUUCUUCCUUUGCACCACCACAUUAGAUAACAAAAUUCUACCCGAGGUUUUCCCUUCUGGGUCGGGCUCGUUUGCUCCAACUGACACCCCAUUAGCCAAUGCCAACACUUUCCUAUUGCUGUAACUCCUAUUCAAACGAGUGAUAAAACUCGCCUGCAGAGGACUCUGCUCUCCGUUUAUUUGAUUGAAUUUUGGGUUUUGAUGGCCAAAGUUUAAGACUUUGCAAGAGCAAGAUCUGGUUUUUAUUGUUGUCGCUCUUUGAGGAGGUGAUACAGCUAAGGAUUUUGGCUUUGACAAUAACGAUGUGAUUAAAGCCAUUGGGUCUCAAUUGGUGGGGUUCUCAAGAAAAAAUUGGGUUUUUGUUGGGUUUUAUAAAAGUUGUGGUUGGUUUGUCCUUUUCUUUUUGAAAGAUGGUUUAUUUAUUGAACCGAUUACUUAGAAUGCCGUAACAACUCUUGAACCAGAGUGGUAGAAGACCUCUAUUAACGUAAGAAGACUAGAUUUGGUGAGAAGGUUGGUUUGUACUUAAAACGAUAAAAUUUGAAGAUUUUGAGUUAUUGUCAAAGCACGAAGUAUAUAAAGCGGGAAAAAGCGUGGAUUAUGGAAAGAGAAAGUGAGCUAACGAAAAGGACAAAGGAGAUAAAAGCUGAUAAGGUGAUCUUGUUUAGAUGGGAAGAUGUGAGGUGAAAUGAGACUCAGAUAUUCUUUUGCUAGGAUUUUGUUUUAGCCCAUUAAUUUUCUAAAUUAUCUACUUGGAUGGAUAGAUAUUUUCUUUUCUCUUUCCUUUUUAUAGGAGUUCUUUCUCUAGUGCCCUUUUGUCUGAUUCUAUCCUUUCUUGCCUGGUUGACAGAUAAGGCUACUCUCUCGCUAGGAAGUUAAAGCAGCAGAAAAACCGGUGAGAGAAAUGGCAGCAACCGCGUCAAUCUUUACGUCUCCGACUCAACCCUUUUCGGCCACGCGGUCGGUGAGAGGUACAAGUGCCAAGCCAUCUAUUUCAAAGCCGAGUAGGGAGUCUCUUUAGACCUGCUUUUUUAACACCCAGUUAGGGAUCUUUGAUUGCUUACAUCGUUUUUCACGUUUUUGGUUGGGGAUUUGAGUUCAGCUCCCUUGAGCUGAAAUUGGGUACAAAUCUUAAUCACCAAUGGUGUGUUCGGCUUAGGUACUCUUGCUUAACUGGAAGCAACUGUACCCUUAGUAAGCAGUCAAGAGGAUCUUUCUUUAAAUGUUAUUAAAUUACAAAUCAUGGUAACUAGAUUAUCUUGCGAGAUAUAUUGAAAACAAUGGAAUUAUCCAAUCAUUUUGCCUUCAAGUUAAGAGUUAUUUCAUGCUUGUCUGUGUCAUGAUUCAUGCUCUGGUUUUUAUGCGUAAGUUGGCAUUUCUACUUUCUUAAAAGCUUGCAAUUUUAUUAACCGGUACAGUUGGUUUGCUAGGUCUCUGGUUUUGAGGAAGUGUAGAAUGGCAAAUAGGAAUCCUUGGGCUAUGACCUGUUUUAGAUUUGAUUAUUUAGGGCGCAACUUUCCCUUAAAUUUCAAUCCUGUAUUGCGCUGCAUAAUUUUGUACACUUCUAAGCUGAAAUUAUAUCAUUUGAGUCAGAAAAUCCAAAUAUCAUUGAGCAAGUCAUUUACUUCGUAGUCUCCAUCAAAUGAACUAGAGCUUCUAAAAUGAGUUGGUAACCUAGGGCUUUGGAGUUGGCAGUUGCUUCAUUCUGUUUAUAUCUGCAAUAAAUUCUAUGUGCCAGAACAAACUAAUGUUGUUGUGACUCAAAAUGCCAAGUAAAAUAGCUAGACCUUAUGCCUCAAAUUUCUGAUGCCAAACAGUUUUGCAAUUUUUUCAGAUGCAGCUAGUAGCUUUAUGGGUGCAUCAUUGCCAAGGGAUUUUGCAAAGACGAAAAGAUUAGUCAAGAUAAGUGUAAAAGUGACUGCAGCUGCUACUGUUACAAAAAAUCCUAUGGAACAAAUUAAAGAGUAUGGACUUUAGUUUCCUUCUAUUUUUGCUGUUUCAUUAAGCUUAAAGUGUUCUGGCUUUGGAGUUUUCUUUGAAAAGAAUUGUUGAGUUGGGUUUUUGCAUUUUAAGGAAUAAUAUCUUCUUUGGGAGUGGAAAAUUGGAGGAAUUCACCCUCUACAUGUUUCUACGUGCAGCAUGCUGAAGUUAUAUGUAUCUCAAGUUCUAAACUGCAAUGUGGUGUUGUUUGAAAUUUUUUAAUCAUUCAAACAGAAUAAUCUGAAGAUUCCUGCCCAACAGGUAUGCACUCCCUUCGUGGGCUAUGUUCGAACUGGGGAGGGCUCCGGUAUAUUGGAAAACCAUGAAUGGUCUUCCUCCAACUUCUGUGAGUGCAGCAUUGCUGGUUUUAUUAUUAUUAUUUUUGCUUUAUGUUGCUUGAAAGCAAGGGCAGGCUGUUGGCUGUUGCAACUCUUUUCUAUAGAGAUUGUCUUUUUUGACAGGGAAAGAAGGUGAAGCUUUUCUACAAUCCAGCUGCAACUAAACUUGUUCCAAAUGAAGAAUAUGGCAUUGCUUUCAAUGGUAAUUUGUGCUCAUGCACUCUUAGCUUUAAUAAUAUAAUUAACCAAAUUGGUUUCUGUAGAUUUCAAUAUAUAAAAGUCUGUACAAAUAAGAAGUACUACCUGUGAAAGGACUCUAGUUAUAUUAUAGACUGUAACACUAUGGCUUCUGUUAUGUCCUAAAAGUAUAAAACAAAUUUAUUCAUAAAAUGAAGUAUUUAAUAGGCUUGUUGUUACCAGUAUUACCAAGGUUAUUUAAUAAAUUAAGCAGUUUUUCUUCAUUUGGUUCUAUAGCAACACUCAGAAAUUUGGUUCUUGACAUUAUUACAGAAAAUAGGAACAUUUUGAUUUUCUUCUGCAUUAUCAGGAGAUUGCCAUCAAAAACGGCAAAAAGAAAAGAAAAUGAAAGUAGGGGGGAUAGAAUAACUUGUAAUCAUUUCAAAUACCUCACAGUUGAAUGACCUUGGUUCAUGGCAUGACUCAAAUGGAUCUUUGAUAAUUUCCACAAUUUGUUUUCCAUAGCUCAGCUACCAUUGGUUAAGUGAGUGGUGCCUGUAGUUCUUUCUUCAGUGGUUUAUCUAGGGGUUCUAGUAUUUGAUUCAUUGUUGGGUCGACUAUAGGUUUUGUAUGCAAGUAGAUAAUUGAAGUCCUUGGCUAACAACUUACUCAACUGUAACUCUGCAGGAGGUUUCAAUCAGCCUAUCAUGUGUGGUGGUGAACCGAGAGCAAUGCUGAGGAAAUCUCGAGGCAAGGCUGAUAGUCCAAUAUACACCAUCCAGAUAUGCGUUCCUAAGCAUGGUUUGUAACAUUCACAAAUUUUUUUCUCUUGGACAGUUCAACUCUCUCCUCAACUCCUAAAAUCUACUUUUACUUUGGCAGCUGUGAACUUGAUCUUCUCAUUCACAAAUGGAGCCAAUUGGGAUGGUCCUUACAGACUACAGUUUCAAGUUCCGAAGUCUUGGCAAAACAGAGCAAUUGAAUUCUUUAACCAGGUAAAUUUAUGCAUACUUGGGCUCUAUGAUUCUUCUGCCUCUAGGUUGAAGAUAAUUGUCCUGUGCUAUGAACACAUAUUACAUUUCGCAUUCGUGAUUGUCAUACCUGUAACUAUUUGGAAGUGAAGCAAAAUUUGGCAAGCCAUGCAUUACGAAAAAAAUGUUUCUUCUAUGUUGCUGGCAGGGGGUAGGGAAGGUGGAUCUGGAAAGUAAAUUUGAAGAAUUCAUUUUUUAUUUUGACCUAAACUAGAGAACUCAUUGCCAAACCAUGCAAUAUUGUGAAUUUCUCUGUUUCAUUUUACACUUGAGUUAAUUUCUAUUUGGAAUGAUUGAAUUGGUUCAGACUAGACAAGUGAGAGAAUAAUGUAACCUGAGACAUGUGAAAUCUUGUAUCACUGUGGCAGGGGCUGGCAGAGGAGUUGAGUCAAGAAGGUGCAUGUGACAGGGCAAUCUUUCCAGACACAAAUAUUGUUGUUGAUAGAUGUGUUAUGAUCGGGAACUUAUCCAAAGAAGGAGUAAAUAAACUUCUUAUCUGUGUUCUUCUUUAUUCUACAUCUUCAUUUCGUUAUUCUGCAUCUAAUUGCUAGCAUCAACUUUAUGUAUGAACUCUACAAUGGAACACUCUUGCAGGGUGAUCGUUGCAGCCUUGAUCUAGUUCCUGGAUGCAUGGAUCCUAACUCCUACUUAUACAACCCUCUCGCUAAUGUAGAUGACGGGUCAUGCCUAAUUGACUCUGAUUCUGAGGACUAGUGUCAGCCAGCCGCAUCUCAUUCACUCAUCUCAUAUCAUUUAAUACAAUCAUUUGGCGGAGGUCUAGAGUUACCAUGGCAGACUAUUUGCCGAAUGACUCCCUGCUCUUAACCGCUAGUCCUAUAGGGCAUUUGCCCUGCCUGUGACUUCUCAAGAAAUUCGAAUAUAAAGCUGCAAAUAUUCAUAUGAAUGAGGUACAGGAUAAUUAUAUUACAAAUUGGCUAUCAUCUCCACCCUGACAUUAGUUGCAGUAUAUCGUAACAGUUGUGACGAUUGAAAUGAGACAAUUCUUGUAUAGAAUGUAGCAUAAGGCAUAUAUCCUUAAAAUAAGUUCACCGCAUGAUUCCACUGAGUUUGACUUGCUUGGUGGCAAGGAUCUUUAGAGCUUUCUUUUUUAUGCUUAAGUAGGGUUUGGAGUUGGGAUUACAAUUAGAUAACAAUAUUUUAUUGACAGUUUGAUAAUAUCAGAAUGUAGAUUAGAAACCCUGCAGAAUCUUACUAAAAUUUGCUUGACAAUAAACCCUUACUAAAACGGCAGCAUCCAUACCCUUUGCCUUAACAUGAAGGCAAGGCCUCAUUUGACUAGUUGCAUAAUUCUUGCCAUCCAGAGAAAUUUAUGCUAACAGAUUGGCAUCCAGGAUAAUUGUAAAAAAAUUAAGUUUGGUCAAUGGUAAUUAUCUCUCCAACUGAAAAUAUCAUAUCUCUGUCAAGUCUACCUAAUGAAAAAGGACAGACAGAGGAAUAGGAUAUCCAUGACAAUGAUUAAAGAUGGAAAGCAAUGUUAAAUGUGCUGAAAGCUCAUCAGCUUGGUUUUAAUUAGGACCAUCAAACGCCCCUGUUCAGCAGCUAGAGGACAUAGAUAAUAAAUCUUUCUGGCAACGCAUAAUGAAAAAGAUGUACAACUAAACUAUUAGCUAUGCAUCAAUAUCAAACUGGUCCAGUUCUACCCAGGUUUCUGGGUCAAGGCCCUGCCAAACUUCAAAGACAAGUGAAAGCGCAAAGGCUUUGCAUGCCAUGAAAACUGGUCCUGUGAUUCUUGUAAUAUGACACGAUUUGACCUGUCAAAAAACCAUUGACAGAAUGGUCGUAGGACGAAAGUUCUUUUAUGAAUUCAACUUCUAGAACAGGACAAAGAAAGUAGUACAAAACACAUCCUAGGCUCUAACUUUAACAUGCUUAUCCUAUGCCAAAAAGAAUAUUGACAAAUGUGAAAUGACUGCAAGCAAGCAAUGUAAGCACCCCAAGAAAACAGAGGCCACAUCGAAAAAAAAAACACAAGGAUUAGAACAUUGACACCCCAUUUUAACUUGUUUUCUAAACUACCAUUCCCCUUUUGCUUUUUCCCCUUUGAGCAGCAAUUUACAUUGUCUUCUUCAAAUUUGACGUUGCCAUUUGAGCAAUUCUUCUUAUCUUAACAAGCCCUCUUUCAUGGUACCAGAAACAAGUGGACAUUUUCUCUUGCUGUCUUCGUACUUGCCAGCAAGGGAAUCGAAUAGGAUUCCAGCACCAACACCAACAGCCAAAUCAAUGGUGUGACAACCCCUGGUACCUAGCAACCUCACAGCUUGAAGCACAUUCAAUGUAUCAAAUAACCAUGCCAAUUCCCAUCUACGCAUUCGCCUCAUUUCGAACGACGCAAUCACAGAUCCAGCAACAUGGCCCGAGAAGAAUAGGAAGAACGAUACAUUCCCUACUGGAAAAUCCACUCCUGAACCUACAAAUUCCUGUCAUUCCAUGAUUGAAUCAGCUGAUCAAACCCAAUAACCAACCAGAGUUAAGAAAAAGGGAUUACGACUACCCUGUUCCUGACAACUAUAGACAAAGACAAAGAUACCAUUGACAGUGUUGUUCAUUAUCUUCAGAAAUCAAUCAAACAUGAUCAUACCAAUUUUAUGGAAAUGAAAUCAAACAAUUCAAAUCAGGGAAGGAUAAGUUUUCAAAUGUUAAGAACCUGGGGUAAUGGGAGCUGCGUGGAGUAACCAAGAAUCCCACGACAAGUAAACAUGAACAAAGCAGAUAUUGUAGCCCUUGGCCGACACUCGAUUAGCCAUGUCCAUAGUAUAUAAACUGUCUGCACCCCUACAAACACCUCACCCCAAAACAUAUGUAUCCAAAGAUCAGAUCAUGCUUUUUGCUGUAAUCAAACUUUCUUAGAGAAAAGUUAGAAACCAUUCAAAGUUAUAUUAUAUAUUGACAUGUUAAAAAAGCUCUUAUGACACUUUUCAAUUUUUACCUAUACCUUAUGUCAAUGCCACACGAAAUAUAAAAUAUAAAUAAUAAUUUAAUUAAUAAUAAUUAAUAAAUUGGUAGUAAUAACAAAUUAUUUAAUUUAAAAUAAAAAUAUAAAAAUUUAACUAAUUGUAAUAAAAAAAUGACUUAUUUAAAUUUUUAAAAUAAUUUAAAGAUUUUUUUAAAUAUUAUAUUUCAAUAUAAUAAUUCUUAAUCUGAUACAUUUUUAAUUAAUUGCAUUUGAAGAAUGCAUAAGGGACUCAUAAAGGUAGAUCUAUAAGAUCUCCAUGUGUGGAAUCAAUUUUUUUUGCCUCUUUGUUUUUACUAAUAAAUACAUUGUGAUGAAAAAAAAAGCAAAAAGAAAUCAAUGAAAAUAUACUUGAAAAAGUUCAUGCAAUUUAUUCUUGAGGAAACAAUACUCAUGUUCUAAGAGCUCCAAAGCUCUCAGGCACCUUCAUUUGACAUGCUAAAACAUCUCUUUAGCCAUAUCUUAAAGUGGGUAAUGAGGUUGUUUCUGAUUAAAAAUAAAAUAGUGAAAGGAAACGGUAAACUUGGAAGUUGGAAAUGGAGUAGUAUAAAUGUUUUGACAUUAAAAAAAGGGGAUUUUUUUUUAUCUUUUAAAAAUAACGUGCUUUUGUAAAUAACCCUCAUGAUAAUUUUAACUGUUUUUAGCAAAAAGAAUAGAUUUUGGGACAAAAAUGCUCUUAAUGAGCCAUCUUCGUUAGCGUGCAUUAUCAAAUAGGUGGAAAAUAGGAAAAAAAAUAAAUUUGCAAAGAUUGGUUGUGCAAAAUACCUUUUUUUUUUUGCGAAGGUUGUGCAAAACAAAAUAAUGUUGCAUGAGAUGGGUUUUCAGAUAUUUGGGACAUGACAUUCAGAUAAUAGAAGAAGAGAGAUAUUAAAUCGAACGAGGAACCAGUCGUCAUGAAUGGAAAGCUUAGCUAAUGAUGUGAAACCAGAAAUCCUUGAUACGGUAGUGAAUUGAAAGGAGAAAGAUGUGAAUCCAAAGCAGGAAAUGGUCUUGCUAUAGCAAGCCAUAUGUGAGACAGUUGUCGCAGGGCAGGGUUUAGAGUUUGUGAAACGUCAUGUUGGGAAUGUGUGACACGGCACCGCUCAGAGUUGGUGAGACGCCAGAGUUAAGAGUUGGUGACACGUCAUGGUGAGAAUCUGUGACACGCCAACGUUCAGAGUUGGUGAGACGCCAUGGAGGGAAUCUGUGACACGCCAGAGUUAAGAGUUGGUGACACGACAUAGAGGGAAUCUGUGACACGCCAACGUUUAGAGUUUGUGAGACGCUAUGGAGGGAAUCUGUGACACGUCAAAGUUAAGAGUUGGUGACACGCUAUGGAGGGAAUCUGUGACAUGCCGGCAUUCAGAGUUCGUGAGAGGCCAUGGAGGGAAUCUGUGACAUGCCAGAGUUUAGAGUUGGUGACACGCCAUGGAGGGAAGCUGUGAUACUCUAGAGUUAAGAGUUGGUGACACACCAUGGUCAUGGUUUAAAGUGUGUGACACGGCAUUGCUUGAAAAGUUGACACGCCAUGGUCAUGGUUUAGAGUGUGUGACACGAUAGUGCUUGAGCAGCUGACACAUCAUGGUUUGAAAUAGAGAGAGGAAAAAAAAGAGGGCAGUUAACGUGGUAAUCGUUUAGACUUUCACUGAAUUAAUUCCCUUUUUUCAGAAUCAAUAAGAAUAUUAAAAGGCCAUUUUUCAUUUUAAACAAUUAUUAUUCAGAAUUCAUAACGUCUAUGUGAUUCAUUUCUCAUUCCAGCCGGUACCAGAGUGUUCGAAAAGGCUAUUUGAAAGCGUAAUGACACCACAGCACCAGCAACAAUGUCAACCAUGAAUGAAGAGGUCAAUGAGUCUCAAAUUAAAACAUUCUUGUGUUCGUUAAUUUUUUGGUUUUUCCUAGGUUUGUUUGAUAUGUUCGGGUUUUUUGUUUUGUUUUGCAAAUGUUUAGACUGUAUUUUCUUACUGGUUUGAUGGUUGUUGGGGUUAAGUCGUAGUGAUUUUAGGGGUUUUGGGUGUUUACCGUGUGAUGCCAUUGUUAUUAUAGUUAGUUAUUGACGCGUCAGCUUUAUAUGAUUUGAUUUGAUAUGCAUGGCAUGUGACAACAUUUUACUUGAUAUGCAUGGCGUGUCACAACAUUUUACUUGUUAUGCAUGGCGUGUGACAGCAUUUUACUUUAUAUGCAUGGCGUGUAACAACAUUUUACUUGUUAUGCAUGGCGUGUGACAGCAUUUUAUUUUAUAUGCAUGGCGUGUGACAGUAUUUUACUUGUUAUGCAUGGCGUGUCACAACGUUUAACUUGUUAUGCAUGAUGUGUCACAACAUUUUACUUGUUAUUCAUGACGUGUCACAACAUUUUACUUGUUAUGCAUGGUGUGUCACAAUAUUUUGCUUGCUAUGCAUGGCGUGUCACAACUUUUAUUCCUUAUUGCACAUGACGGCUUAACUCAUUGAUGCAUGUGUGCCAUGUUUUGUAGAUCCAGCGUAGAUAGUAUGAGGAUCUUGACAGUUUGCUAAUUGUGCCAAGGGAGAAGUGGGCGUUCAACGUUGCAAUUAACACCCACUGUAAGUGGUCGCAACUGCAUUACAUCACAAAGACUCUCCAACAGAAGGAGGAGUACGAUGCAGUUAAGCGUACCUGCUUCGAAAUGCUCCUAGACGUCUAUCCACAUGGGUACUUUUGUGCCGGUCUCCUGCACAGCAUCAUGAUUCAUCGGAUCAGUGAGAGCCAGUCAAUGGACCACGAGCUAUGGUUUGCCAUUGGCAAGAGCAAGGCGCGGCUAUCAAAGCAGGAGUUUUGCCUCAUCACCGGGGUUGAAGUUUGGUCCAAUGCCUGAUGUGUUCAAACGACCGUACGAGGUUGCUGUGGCAAGAAUUCAUGAUAGAUACUGGAACGGGCAGGAAAACAUUAAGCUGCAGGCUUUGCUUGAUACUUUCCGUGGGGGCAACUUCCAACGACCAAGAGACGCGACCAAGAUGGCACUCGUCUUGAUCGCGAAUAACAUUUUAUUUGGUCAAGACUACCGUAGACGGGUAGCACCUUGGUUGCUAUCAUUGGUGGAGGACAUCGACGAUUGGAAUGUCUUCCUAUGGGGGCACUAUUGUUGGAAGCUGACCUUGGACUACCUUUUGAAAGGGUUCGAAGUACCUGACUCAAGUGUGACAAAGGAAACUCGGUUACGCUACAACAUUUACGGAUUCGCAUGGGUGAUACAGGUACUAUCACUUAACAUUUUUCAGUUUCCUUUUGAAAAAAAAAUUUAUGGGUGCACUCGUUUAUGAUUUACGGUCUAAUAAUGAUUACAUUUGACAUGCAGUUUUGGGUAAUGGAGGUAAUUUCGGUCCUCCUAAAAAUAGUUGCCCCCUCUGGUCCAAAGAAAAACGUCUACCCAUGAAUGUGAAGAUGAGAUUGCAAUCAGAAGUCAAAAGACUUCUACAAUGCAAUUCAGAAGUUAGAGUCAUCUGACCAUAUGAGUGAACAGCUGCUAAUUUUUACGUUAUAUUUGUAUAAUAAUUUUCUCUAUUCAAUAAUGAUUUUAUUUGUUUAUUUGCAGUUGUGGGCAUUGGAGACGUUGUAACCCACCGCGGAUGAGGCCUUCCGGGAGUAUUUUGUGGACCUUGAUGUCUCGUUAUCGGAGGGCCACGAGUACGUGCUAAUAGGGCACAUGGAGGAUCGGUCGAAUUUAGGCUUAGGUGCGAGGCAGAAAAGGAGAAGCUUGAAGGAGAAAAGAGCUUCUAGUGGCACGAAGCGGAUGCACACCGCCGCUGCUUUAAUUGAUGAGCUGUCGGGCCCUGAGUUGAUGGACGAAGGGGACGACCAUGGUCAAGGCAGUGAACAGCCGAUAAGGACAAUUGUAAUGAUUUUGUGUUCUCCAAUUCCAUAUGUGAUUAUUGAAUAACAUUUCCGUGUUUGCAGUUGGACCAUGCACCGGCAGCUCCAGAACCACUCAUCGAUCCUCCUCAAACACAUAAAUGCCUCUAUGACAUCGUUUACCUUAGCUCAAACCACCUUUCAAAAUUCAAUUACUUCAGUUGUUUUCCACCAGCCUUCAAUAGUUUAUUUUUCAUAUUAAAAAUCACUUUCUAACAGUCCCCCAUGAUUUGAAAUCUGGUGCACUCCAAGAAGAGUUUUGAGCAUUUCAAAUCUCUCCCUGGAUAAACCUUUGGUUAAUAUAUCAGCUACUGAACCUCUGUAGUGCAAUGCUUGAGUUCAACCUCUUUUUCAUUCACUGCCUCUCCAAGAGCAUGAUAUUUUACCUUGAUAUGCUUGGUUCUCCCAUGAUGAAUUAGAUUUUUGGCUAUUGCAAUGGCAGAAAGAUUAUCAACAAAAAUCAUGGUGCUCUUAUCUUGUUUGAAACCAAGAUCAUUAAGAAUUUUCCUCAACCACUUCAACUAAUUUACAGCUGCUGUAGUUGCUAUGUACUCAGCUUUUGCAGUACACUGUGCAACAAUACUUUGCUUCGUUGAAUUCUAUGAGAAAAUUGCACUAUUGAAAGAAAAACAGAACCCAGUUGUGCUCUUAGAAUCAUCAAGUGACCCUGCCCAGUCACUAUCACUAUAUCCAACUAAAUCCCCACUCUCUUGUUUCAUAAACCUCAGGCCAAAAUCAGCAGUUAUUUUAAUAUACUUGAGGAUUUUUUUGGCAGCUUUAAAAUGUAACUGUGUAGGAGCUUACAUGAAUCUGGACAAUAAACAUGUAGCACACAUCAAAUCUAGCCUAGUUACUGCCAAAUACAACAAUGAACCUAUUAGACUUCUGUAAAUUGAAUCAUCAAUAGCUGCAGAACCAUCUUCUUUACAAAACUUAUUUCCAAAAGCUAGAAGAGUUGCUACAACCUUACAAGCAGACAUGUUGAAUUUCUUUAACAGAUCCUUGGCAUACUUAGUCUGAUGUAACCACACUUCUUCACCAGUUUGUAGAAUCUCCAUGCCUAAGAAAUAAGUCAUUAACCCUAGGUCUAUCAUUACAAACUCUUACAUCAUCUGGCUUUUAAACUCAAUCAAUGAAUCACCAUCAGGUCCAAUGAUUAGUAAGUCAUCCACAUAUACUGCAACAAUUAACAUUGCAGUAUUUUCAAGUAUCUUCACAUACAAAGUCGACUCAUUUGUGCUUUUUAGUAGACCUUGACUGGAAAAAUAAGCAUCUUCCUUGUCAUACUAGGCCCUGAGUACCUGUUUUAAGCCAUACGAUGCCUUAACCAGUUUACAAACCUUGUCCUCUGCCCCUGGUUCAACAUACCCUUCAAGGUGCUCCACAAAGACAUCUUCAGACAGAUUACCAUUUAGAAAAGCAGCAUUUACAUCCAAAUGGUAUAUCUUCCACCUUUCUUUAGUAGCUAAUGCAGCAAGCAUCCUAAUUGUGUCAUAUCUGGCAACCGGUGCAAAAGUUUCCAAAUAAUCAACUCCAUAAGUCUAAGCAUAACCAUUGACCACCAAUUUGGCUUUUAUAUUUGUUUAUUGAGCCAUCAGAAUUUAGCUUAGUUCUAAAUAUCCAUUUGACUCCUAUUAUCUUGUGAUAUGUAGGUCUGUCUACAAGUAACCAGGUAUUAUUUUUCUUUAUCAUGGAGAUCUCAGCAUCCAUAGCCUUUCUCCAGUUUUCAUCCACAACUGCUUCAGAAUAAGUGACAGGAUCAACAGUAGCAAGAUUACAUUUGCUGUAUAUAUCUUCCAAUGUCUUUGACCCUCUUACAGCUUUACUUUCAUCUUCAAUAUCAGAAUCAUCACUUUCCAACAUAAGUUGAUGAUUAUCCAAAUCUUGACUACCAGGAACAGGUUCUACAAUCUUUUUUUUCCAGUUCCAGAAAUGACUUUUAUUAAAGACCACAUCCCUACUUAUAACCACUUUGUUUGCAUCUAAAUCAUAUAGUCUAUAUCCUUUGGAUUUGUCACUAUAGCCAAUAUGCACAGCAAUAAAAGCUUUAACAUCAAAUUUUGAUCUCUUCACAUAAGGAAUUCAAGCAUAGCACAUACAGCUAAAGACUUUAAAAUGAAAGACAGAGGGUUUUUGUUCAUACUGGAUCUCAAAAGGAGUUUUGAACACCAAUUCUUUAAUGAUGUUUCUAUUUUGAAUGUAGUUGGUAGUGUUAACUGCCUCAACCCAAAAUUUCAUAGGGAGAUUACACUGUAAUAAUAAACACCUUGCCAUUUCAGCAACUGUUCUGUUUUUCUUUUCAGCCUUACCAUUCUGCUGUGGACUAUAAGCAACUGUUAAUUGAUGGUGAAUCCCAGCAGUUGACAAAAGCUUCUCAAAUUCAUUUGAAGUGUAUUCAGCUCCAUUAUCGGUCCUUAACACCUUGAUGCUUAGGCUAGCAAAGUUCUCAACUUGUGCUUUGAACUCAGAAAAACUCCUUAUAGCUUCUGAUUUAUUCUUCAAGAAGUAAAUCCAACAGUAAUUAGAGAAAUCAUCAAUAAACAGGAUAUAAUUCCUGCUUCCACUCAGUGAGGGAUUCUUCAUAAGACCACUCAAGUCAGUAUGAACUAGCUCCAACUUCUUUGUAACUCUCCAACUACUUUCCUUAGGAAAAGGUUUCCUGGUCUGCUUCCCAAGCUAAUAGACAUCACACAACUUCUCUGGUUUAACAAUGUUAGGUAGACCUAUUACAAGGUCUUUUGAAGUCAUUGUUGUCAGUGAAUUAUAAUUCACAUGACCAACUUGUUUAUGCCACAAUUCAGAUAAAUCUUUCUCAGCAUAGAGAGCUAGUUGUUUACUUUCAGACAAUUUCAUAGGAUAACAUUUAUUCUUCAUGCUCACAGUUAAUAAUUCAACACCAGCAGGAUCGAAUAUUGUGCAUUGCCUAUCUUUAAACAAUAAGGCAUAACCAUUAUCAUCUAAUUGACCUACACUAAGUAGAUUCUGAUCAGCUUCAGGCACAUAAUGCACAUCAUGAACAAACCUCAUACCAGAUGCAGUUUUUACUCCUAUGGUGCCUACUCCAAGUAUCUUCAUGUAUAGACCAUUACCUAUUUUCACACAAGCCCUAUAACUUUUAUCAAGCUCAGUGAAAAGAUUAACAUUACUUGUCAAGUGGUUUGAGCAGCCACUGUCAAUCAACCGGGUGCUCUUCUCAUCAAUCUCAUCAUUUGCCUUAGCCAUAAACAAUACCUCCUCAAAUUCAUCUUUUUCUUCAACCACUGCAGCCUUGCCUUCAACUUCUUGUUUCUUCGCUUUACACACUUUCUCCACAUGUCCAAGUUGCUGGCAAGAUCGACACCUCACAUGAGGUCUAUACCAACAGUACUUUGGAGUAUGAUUAGUCUUUUUACAGUGAGUACAGGGAGGAAAUUUAUCAUGACUCUUCCCUUGUUUUGCAGAUCCAGACUUAGUGCCUUUAGCACUAUUCUUCUUAGAACUUUCAGAUUUAGCUUUCAAACCCUUAGUUUUAGCUACUAAGGCAUUCUCAACAGAGUCUUCAUCCUUGAGGGCUUUUCUCUACUCAAAAGCCAAUAUAGUAGAGAUCAAUUCCUUUGAAUCCUCAAGUGAUGUCACUUUUGAUUCAAACUUGUCUGACAUACUCACCAAAAUUUUGUUGACCAUCCUUUGAUCAGUGACUUCUUGUCCCAACAUUCUGAGCUGAUUCACCAGCUUCAACAUCUUAUCCAUAUACUCUUGAAUACCCUCAUUUUCCUUCAUCUUCAUCACCUCAAACUGUUUCAAUAAAUUCAUAAUCUGUAUCACCCUUGUUUUGUCAUUGCCUUAAUAUUCUUCUCUGAUGUUAUCUCAUACUUGCUUAGGAUCCUCCAAAUGCAUAAUCUUGACAAAGAUUGACUCUGACACAGUUGACUGCAGGCUAAUCAAAGCCUUGUAUCUCUUUGCAACUUCCCCCGAGUGUUGCUUAAUCUGAGCUAAAGUCGGAUUAGCAUGCCUUUGAAUAGGCAUCUCACUAGACUCCACCACAUCCCAUGGGUCGAAUGCCUUAAGAUAUGAUCUCAUCUUCACUGCCCAGAAAGGAUAAUUAACACCAAUGAAUACAAGAGGUGCAGUUGCACUAAUUCCAACUAUUGCCAUAUAGAAAUUGAAGAUGAUACGAUCAAAAGCAAAAUGUUACAGGUCCCUUGAGAAAAAACACUCUGAUACCAUGUAAAAGAACUCGAUUUUCACUGACAGAGGCUAAAUAAGAAAAUGAAAAAGAAAGAGAAGAAUAGAGUAUCAGCUUAGAAGUAAAAUGAGAAUUUCAUUGAUCAAGAAGAUAUAUAAAAAACAACGGCUACAAGCAAAUAUAUUCACUACUAAGAGCUGUUCCUUAGAUGUAGCCUUGAAAAACCUAACAAAAUCGGAUCGAAGCACAGAAAACGGAAGGAGAGCUUUCUAUUGCUCUAACAGUCAAAAAACAAAGAACAAAGAAAAUAACAACCAAAUGACCAUUCGACUAACAAAAACGACACUCAUGAAGAACGUUUUACAAGAAAAAUUAAAAGACUAGUGAAACGACACUAAUGGUCAUCGUUUCACAAACUUAAAACACUUAAAUGCCUUUACGACAUUGUUUUACGUAGCUCAAACCACCUUUCAAAAUUCAUUUACUUCAGGUGCUUUCCAUAAGCUUUCAGUAGUUGAUUUUUUAGAUUAAAGAUCACUUUCCAACAAAUUCUUCUUUGUUUCCUUUUUGUUGGGUUUCACUCUUUCCAGGGUUUAAGGUUUUGAGUUCUUUUGCUUUCUAGUGGGAAGCUCACACGCCUCACGGUUCACAACUAUUUAAAGCGUGAGAGUUUAGCUUGGGCCCUAAACUCAUACAAUACAACGGUAAAUAUUAAAAAAAAACACUAGCCAAUACGUUCAAAUAUUUUAAACAGCUAAAAUAUUCUACUCCUAAACAUAGAGCGUGGACUUACCCACAACCCUAUUUGGUGGAGCUAAGGUAUAAAAAUAAUUCACAAGUACUUAUAGGCAAAGGAUAAAGUUGUUAGAAUACAGAAAAUAUUAGGAAAUGGUUUGAAGGGGUGUAUUUAUCUCAUUUUCUUAAAAUUUUUAUUCGGAUUCAUUAUUGGUGUGCAAAAGAGUUUUUUAGGAUAAACUUUAAAUACACAAUAAGUUCAGUCAUUGACUACAUUUUGUAUGGACAAAAUUAAUUCGCUGAACAUUUAUUAAUAUAUGACAAGAUUAUUAAAUUUUUUAUAGAAUUUUUCUAUAGCAAAACAAUAUAGAAGCAAUUCAAAAGAAUUUGAAGGAGAAAGUGAUUGUAAGUUGUUUCUUUGUUGAUAUAAUUUCAUAAAAACCAACAAAUUUUAUUUAUAAACAAAUUUAUGUCUCUUUGUUCAAAGUUAAUCAACCCUUUGAACAAAUAUAGUUGUUUGAGCAAAUACAACUAUUCAACCAAAUCAGGGAGACUGCAUUAAUUAUGUCAUUUUUCUAUAAAUGUUACGUUAACUUAUAUUAAUCUAGGGUGAGCAACAUUGUAAGGUUAUCAUGGAUCGUGGUGGACCAAUGGGUUUGGAUCGAUUUUAAGGUGAUCUUGUGACUUAACGAGUGAUCCAUGAUUCAAAUUUUGUAUGGCCGACACUUUUAAGGUGGUCCAUUGUCCUAGACAUUUUAUCUAUUUACCCAAGAUUAAAAGACUAGACUUGUUCCUACGGUUUAGUCCUUCUGAAAUUGAGUCUUGAAUCAAUUCUAAACUAACAAUCAUUUAAAAAAUUAUAUAAAAAAUUAUAUAAAAAAUAAGAUAAAUAUUUAGAAAUUAUAAGACUUGAACUCAUAAUAAGAAAGAUGCUGUUUUAAAAGAUCUUAACCAUAUUAAGUUAAAGAGUUACAUAAUAUUAAAACAUUUAUAUCCAAUACAAACAAUAAAUGAAUAAAUAAAAAAUCUACCAACAGCACCAAACAAAAUGUAAGACUUUUAAAGUAUUGUAACUUAAAAAUAAAUGUGACCUAUAGCGCGGAUAUGUAUGAAUUUUUCUUAUAGUAUUUAUGAAUUUGAUAUACUAUUUGAGUGUAAUAUUAUUAUUUUUUAAAUAAUUAUAAGAAUUCUUAAUCGUAUCAAAUCAUAAGCUUAAUCAUAGAGUUAACCUUACAAAAAUAUGACCUAAUCCACGAUUAAAAUUUUUUAAAACUGAUCUUAUACAAGUGAUGUAUAAUCAUGACUUUAAAAAAAUCCACCUAAACCAUGCAGUAGCGAAGGGAAUGGGCCGUUAGUAGGGUUCCCGUCUCACAAAAGUUUUAAAAUUUCAUAAUUUACCUUUUGAUUUUUUUAGAAUUUUAUCCUUACAAUAAUUUUUUUGUUUAGUGAAAUGCUUUAUAGUAAUUAGUCAACAAUUAAUUUUAAUAGACUUAAAGAUUAAAUAAAAUCUAUUGUAGAAGAAUUAUUCCCUAAGCCACAUUGUUCUAAGAACUUAGGAUCAACUUAGCUCUUGUCUGUCCCUUCAAACACGAAAUUCUUGCUCCGUCACUAAAAAAUGCUCACCUCUAAAUUAUUAGAAGACAAAGACAACCAUUUUCCUAAUUUCAAUAAUAAUGAGUGAAAUGAAAUUGCAACUAGACAUGUAGUGGUACCUUGGGUAUGGGGUGUGAGGUCUACAUGGAGUAAGAGAGAGUGAGUAAAGGCAUGGGGGUGAAAGAGAGGGUGUGCAAAGUGGGUCCAAAUCAAGGCAUGGAGGAAAUAGCCAGGAUUUGAGUCAAAUUAUCAAAGCACAAAAAUAUAGGUGUGAUUUUCUUCACUUUGCAUUAUUGGGCCAUCAAUAUGAGCUUGUUUCAUUAUGAUUUUUGUUGAUUCUCUCAUUUAGUAUCUACUCCUCCUCCUAAGUAAUGACAGGAGUCAAUACUGUAUAAUUAUCAUUUUGGAAGCAAAUUCUUCUGAUAUCAUGGAACUGUUUUAACUUUUAAAUCAAGCAACUUGAAUUGAAUGGCAUCACUUUUUAAGACAGCAGAUAACAUUCCCUUCCCUCCAGGCUCCAACAUUCAGACCAGUUAAUAGCUUAUAUAUAUAUAAUAUUAAUUUGAUGUAGUUGCCAACGUUGACAUAUCUAUAUAUUGAAAUCAAUAUUGUAAAUUAUAAUAUCCUUAACACUGAUGGAGUAAUUAUGCCAACUAUGGAAUUCUUAAAUUCUACUCCAGAAAGUGGCAGGGGGCCUGCAACAAAAUACUCAGGUAGAUGAUGAGGUUUACAAUUAUUUUACAUAUUCUCCAUUGGAGAACGAAGCAUGUCAAUUUGUUUACAGGAACCACGACAUUCUCACUUGGAAAAGCAUGAUUUCUAUUGACGUAAGCAAAACCUUCAUCUCUUUCUUAUGAUGCUUCUGUUUUAUCAGAUUAAUUAUUACUAUAUAUCAGAUGCAUUUGUUUUUUCUUCUCUAUCAGCCUUUCAAACAAAAGAAACCGAUCUUUCAAAAAACCAGAUUCAAACAACCAAAAACCAAGCCACAAUUUUCUAUCAAAAAAAUCAAAGAAAACACCCUAAUCUAGCAACCACAAUUACAAUCCACAAUAAAAGAAAACCAAAAUAAAAUAUAUAUAAAAAAAUACACAUGGAGAAAGGAGAGAAACAGAGUGAGUUUGGGGGAUUUUUUGGUUUGGGUUUCUAGGAAUAGAUUUUUAUUUUUAUUUUUUGGUUUAUUGGUUGAAGCUUAAAGGAAGGAAGAGUUUAAGGAGCUAUUACCGCCGGUUUAGGAGAGAAAGAGAGGCUUGAAACGGCGUCGGAUAGGGAAAGUUAUUGGGCUUGGGUGCGUUGCCAGUAGGAAAGGAAAAAGAGGGUUACCGUCGGUCGGUUACAAAGGCAAAGGAGGGAGGCUUUGAGUGAGGAAAGAGAGCUGGUGAAAGAGCAGAGAAAAAGCGUUCAGAGAGAAAAAGGUAACUGGUAGAAGAGAAAGAGGAAGAAGAAAAAAAAUAAUAAGAAGUCAGCUUGGGAGGGCCUCUAAACGACGCUGUUCUUGAGUACCUGGGAGAGGCUGCUACCAGAGCUCCAGAUUGGAGUGUUUUGGGAAGCACGGUGGGCUAAGGACACGGGCUUGGGUGCUUACAAACAAAUCAAUUAUUUUGGGUUACUGUCUAAGCCCAAACAAGGUAAAAUCCUUUCCUUUAUUAUUUACAUGGAUAUAUUGCCUAGCCCAAUAUUGAGUUGAGGAAUAUUAAAAGUUAAAAAUAAUUAUAAAUAGNNNNNNNNNNNNNNNNNNNNNNNNNNNNNNNNNNNNNNNNNNNNNNNNNNNNNNNNNNNNNNNNNNNNNNNNNNNNNNNNNNNNNNNNNNNNNNNNNNNNNNNNNNNNNNNNNNNNNNNNNNNNNNNNNNNNNNNNNNNNNNNNNNNNNNNNNNNNNNNNNNNNNNNNNNNNNNNNNNNNNNNNNNNNNNNNNNNNNNNNNNNNNNNNNNNNNNNNNNNNNNNNNNNNNNNNNNNNNNNNNNNNNNNNNNNNNNNNNNNNNNNNNNNNNNNNNNNNNNNNNNNNNNNNNNNNNNNNNNNNNNNNNNNNNNNNNNNNNNNNNNNNNNNNNNNNNNNNNUAUAUAUAUAUAUAUAUAUAUAUAAACAACAUGAUACAAAUAUAAAAAUUAUGAAAAAAUGAAAUGACUAUUUGAGAGAUUUUACCUAAAAAGGGCAAAAAGUUGCUUCUUUCUGGUGGAUUUCUUAGGUACGGAGUUCGAGAUGAAUUUUCAUCGAAGUGUCAGGAUAAAUCCGAAUUCUAUACUCCGAUACCCAUUAGUCCGAACAAUUGUUAUUUAAAAUAAUAUACAUAAAAAAUAAUAUAAUAAAAAUAAAUAUAUAAAUAAGGCAAUAAAUCAUGUUAAAUUAUCAAACAUGUUAUUAUUACUAACUAACUAAUUAAUAAACGUGGUCAUGUAGAUAUUAUCAUUUUAUAUUGUCAUAGCAUGCCACGUGUAUUUUGUUAAUGGGACGAGAACUCCCAUGAUGGGAUUUCCUCGAAAGACUUUUAGAGACGAGUUUUUUUCGGGGGAUAUCCAUAGGUGAGGAAAACUUCGAGACUUCACCAAAACGUUAGGAUGGUCUACGAACGAUUUUUCAAUAAAAGACUAUUGCUCUCAUUAUUCAAAAUUGAAUAAAUCAUGACAUCGUUUUACAACUGCAUCAUGUGCAUCCGUGAAGCCGAAUAAAAGGCUCAAUCAGCUAAUGUAAUAAAAAAUUAAUUAAUAAGCAAGGAUUAAGGAAAUAUAUGAAUAAAAUCAAAAGUAGGCUACAAUAUGAUAACUUAAGAUUAAAUAGUACCAUUUGUGGAACGGACGUCACGAAUGUGCUAACCCUUCUCCGUGCGUAACCAUACUCCCUAACUCGUUUUUAAAAAUCGUAGACCAGUUCUCUUUUUUUUGAUGGAUUUAAAAUUAAUUUGGAAUUUAGUCGUUUAAAAUCGAGUUAAUAGGUGACCAAUCGUACCUUUAAAAACCGAUUGGUGACGACUCAUAAUUUGUUUUUUCACCAUGUCUAACAGUCAGAUUUUUGAACCCGCACGUUAUAACAAGCUCAACUUGGAUUAGAGGUUUAAUUUAAGUCAAUAAAGGGUACCAAGCAAGCAAGCCAAGCCAAACCCAGCCUGCUUAAUUUUCUACACAAUGGGCACCCAAAAGCAAACCAUUGCUGGGGCCUGGGCUUGCUGGGCUCAAGUUUUACCACAUGCUUCAACCCUAGCUCAACUUAAAUUGAAGUUGACAUGCCAUAGUGAAAUGUUGUAGUAUCAAAGCUUAAGAGCUGGGAAAAGAGGUAAAAAUAAUCUGUUGAUUAUAUGGACCUUUAGCUCAGGUCAAGACGAUUGAUUUCUGUAUAGAUUAUAUGUAAUUACAUCAGAAGUCGGGCCAUAUAACUAAAGAAAUGUAGUUCACAGCUAGAGUCCUGAUGGUGCGGCAGUACCAGAAGCAACAAAUGUAGUCCAUUCACCUAAAUAAGUAUCUCACCAUGGUUAAGCAAACACCUUUGAAGUCCUAAAGAUUAAAGACUAGUCUCCAAUGCGGACACCUCAGCUGCUGAAAGCCAUCCUUUUCUUCUGAACUUCAGUAGGUAGCUUAACCUCAGUUGCCAGUCCGAUAACUUGAAGAAAUUUGAUUACACACCAAGCCAUGUCCAGUUGCCACCAUUCCAGACCAUGUCUGGCUGAGUAUUUGAAAGCAUGGUGGUUAUUAUGCCAACCCUCUCCAAAUGAAAGCAAUGCCAUCCACCUGAAAAAGUUUGCAGAUAUUUUUAUCAGUAACUUCUUAAGAAAUAAACUUGACAAGAACUAGAUGUAUAUUAGUACAAGGGAAGUCAAUUGUACCAAUUGUUCCUGGACAAAUCACCAGAAUUCCAUGCUUGCUUCCCCCACACAUGGCAAGCUGAAUUUACCAGCCAAGUGAUGUGGUAAAGCCAUACAAUCCUCACACCCUGCAAUGCUCGCACGUUAAUGCCUAGGCCUCCUUAUGGUUAGUAUGCUUAUUUGUCUUCGCUAAGUAAAAGUUUCACUUUUGAAGAUUAAAAUUAUACAGAAACUACUCCAGUCCAAAGUUGUUUGAUCUUCAUUCUAGCAAAUCGAAUGUAACACAAAUGGGCUCCCCAAAAGCAAAAUUUAUCUACUUGAGGAAUCAGAAAUGAUAACCCCAGCCCCACGUUUGUUACAGGAUUAUCUUUUUCUAACAAAUUGUCCAAACUGUUAUCAUAUUAGCAUAGAUAAACAUGGCCCAGCUUAAAGAUUCAAUUAGAUAAGACUUCCAACUUGUGAUUUAGUCCCCAAGCUAGAAUCUAACAUGCUUUCUCAUUUUUCCCUUCACUUUGAGCUAGAGUACAACUUCCUAUAGCUAUGUUUUUUCCUGUCAACUUAAUGACAAAAAUAAUUUGAAAGUAGGGCCACUAGCUUGGUGGUAUGAAGUAAAUUGCAAGUGGAAGGCCCACCAAUCAAACAAAGGGUUUAUGACUCUUUAAGGAUUUUUUUCGUCCUUUUUUCUUUUUCUAGUAACGAAAAGGGAUGGCUGCAACUCAUGCAAGAGACUAUGUUGGCGGAGCUCCAUGAAAACUUUUAGCUUAAGAUAUCUCUAUGCUCUAAAAAGGAAUAUUCAAGGCAAAAUAGGCUAAUCCUCAAAACAUGGGAAAAUUGAAAAACUCGCUUACCAUUCCCCAAACAAGGAAGGGAAACCCUCCUAGAGUAUAUAGCAAAACUCCAAGUGCAAUUGGAUGAAGAAUGUAGGUACCCUCAAGAAACUUGUAGAAGGGUUGCUGCCGUAGAUCCCCAACAUUGGUUGGUUCUCCACACUGCAAAUGUUCCAUUGAUACAAAACAUUAAGAAUAUCAAUUCGUUCUGUGCAUAUGUGAGUGCUUGCAUGUUUGAGAAAGAGAGCGAUAGAGUUACCUUUUCAAUAACGGUGUUGGUAUCAAAGAGCCAGCUCAUGUGGCUGAACCAAAAUCCUUCAAUAGGGCUAUGGGGGUCUCUGUUAGAAUCACAAAAUUGGUGGUGGUACCUAUGUGUGCUUACCCAACUAAUUGGAUUCCCCUGCAAACACCAAAACCAACAAUCAUAUAACAAUCAAAUGAUACUGCCAUUUCCAUGAAAAUAUUCCUCAAAAAUUUUUAAAGCUACCAACCUGAAGUGCCUGAACUCCACAAUAAGCAAAGAAGUACUCAAGCCAUUUUGGAACCUUGAAGCUUCUAUGAGAAAGAUUCCUAUGAAAAGACAAUGUAAUCCCUAGAAGUCCUGUCACCACAUAGAGUCCCACAGCAAGCCAAAAGGCGGGCCAAUUGAAAUGAAAAGGUGCAAAAAGGCUUAGCAAAUGCAUGCUUACAAUAACACCAGCAAUGGCCAUAUCCGAAGUGUUCCAUUUUCUUCCCCAAAACGCCUUUUUCUUCCUUUGCACCACCACAUUAGAUAACAAAAUUCUACCCGAGAUUUUCCCUUCUGGGUCGGGCUCGUUUGCUUCAACUGACACCCCAUUAGCCAAUGCCAACACUUUCCUAUUGCUGUAACUCCUAUUCAAACGAGUGAUA